Molecule: long non-coding RNA, 683 nt
Filed under: Felis catus (domestic cat)
Lineage: Eukaryota; Metazoa; Chordata; Mammalia; Carnivora; Felidae
Description: lncRNA (ENSFCAG00000045978.2)
Source: RNAcentral
AAGGAGGAGAAGGAAGGCAGGCAGGAAGCACUAAGUAGAAACUUAAGGAAUGUACAGGAACUCUGUGAAGGGAAUUUUGAGAGUUACUGUAGCACAUAAAUGGAGAGUUUUAAUAAUAAGAGAGUGGGAAUGGCAACAAGUAAUACCUUGAACAGAUACGGAAUCGAAACGACAGAACUGAAAUAGUGACACAGGAAUAGAUGGAUGAAUGAGAAGAAUCAACAACUCAGAUGGCAUUUCAGACAAGGUUUACUCUGACAGUCUGACAAGAGAGGCCCUGCUUCGUUCAGGUCUACUGCUGUGUUUUGAAGUCUGCCUGAGGCUUGUGAGUUGGUGGUAAGCUGUAGGCGCCAGGGUUCCCACGGAGGAAGGUGGGCCGUAAUGGAAAUCACAGUGCAUUCCAGAAAAUAUCAGGAUUUUUCACAUUAGGUGCAUCACCCGGUAGGCAAGCCCAAGUGAUUCAUUUCCUCCUUUCAAGCCAGAGGGUUACAGGGAUUUCACACCGUGAGAUCCGGUCUCAUGCUUCCGUCCCCAGCCAUUUCAUUUUCUCUGACUCCUUCAUUUCACUCUUUCACUCUUCCUAGACCGAGAAUCUAAUUCUCUUAGGCCAACCGCCCUAACCAUCUAUUCUCGGAGGUCUUCAACAGCUGCUUUAGGUUGCCACCUCAACUCCCCAAGAAUUC